UGGAUAUGGCUCAGUGGUAGGUUAUUUGCCUACCAUGCAUAAGGUCCUGGGUUGAAUCCCUAGUACUUCAA
This 71-nucleotide transfer RNA is filed under the name Marmota monax (woodchuck). Its description in RNAcentral is "tRNA.Gly". The record is from RNAcentral. Lineage: Eukaryota; Metazoa; Chordata; Mammalia; Rodentia; Sciuridae.